This is a long non-coding RNA of Podarcis raffonei (Aeolian wall lizard), 2640 nucleotides long. RefSeq lists it as uncharacterized. NCBI's taxonomy places the organism in Eukaryota, Metazoa, Chordata, Lepidosauria, Squamata, Lacertidae. The transcript has 6 exons. The record is from RefSeq and is a predicted model, not a curated record.
UAAAUAAUAAAUAAAGUGGAACAAAAAAAAUCCCUUUAAGUCUGAAGUGCCAUAGCAACAGUAUCUCUCUCAGGUGAGCAUGAUGCAGUUUCUGUUCCACAAGCACAAUAUCUUGGUAAGUAUGCCAUACUGUUCUGUGGAAUGAAAUGGAAACAUACAAAACAGACUUUAUCAAUGACAGUGUUAGCUGUGAAUGUUUAUAGUGGUACCUCGGAUUACAGACGCUUCAGGUUACAGACUCCGCUAACCCAGAAAUAUUACCUUGGGUUAAGGAUUUUGCUUCAGGAUGAGAACAGAAAUUGUAUGGUGGCGGCACGGCGGCAGCAGGAGGCCCCAUUAGCUAAAGUGGUACCUCAGGUUAAGAACAGUUUCAGGUAAAGAAUGGACCUCCAGGACGAAUUAAGUUCUUAACCCGAGGUACCACUGUAUUGUCCUUCAGUCCACUCAACAUCAUACAGAGGUGAGUGGGCAAUCUGUGAGGAUAAAAACAAACUGUUACUUUUAAGUGCUGUUUUAUGAGGCAUUGGACUUCAGGCCGGAUCCAAAGAUGCCCUUUCUUUUGUAAAAUGCUGCCUCUUCUCAUGGAAGAGCCUUUUCUGAUCUAGGAAAGAAAUGUGACAUCAGAAGUGGCCCAAAUCCAGAGAGACACUCGCACAAGACUGCAAGAGACUUUUGCCCAAAUCUUGUUCUUUCUUUGUCCUCACUAGAGCAGUGGUUUUUCACCUUUUAGGAGGUCAUGGGCCUCUUUGAUAAUUUGAUGGACCCCCACCCAAUAAAUGUGAUAUGAAUUUUUUUUCACCCCACAAACACAGUUUUCAAAGUAUCAGGAAGAAAAUAGAAGAACAUCCCUUCUUUUGCACCUGGUUCAUGGACUGUCUGUGGACCACAGGUUAAGAACCUAAGUGCUAGUGUGUAUAUGUUUUAGCCUGUCUCUUUCCUAAUUGGUGCUUCUCUUACUGUAACACAUCCUGAUGCAUAGUGUACUGCACUGAGAGAAUACUCUGUUGGAUUGUGGAAGAGCUUACUGAACAGCACCAAUACAUCCCCCCCUUUCACUCACAGUUCUUUGGCCCACACCUCAAUAAGCUGGAUGGCUCAGUAAUGGGAGACAGCGAUAAACUUGGUUCAAAUAAUGUCCUCAGCAUGGCCAAUUCAUCUGUUACCGGGAAGUGAGAAAUAACCUUCUUUCUACACCUCUUGAUAAAUUUAUGAAUAGAUGGUUGUUGAGAAUACUUGGCCAGGAAAACCUGGGUCAGAAUGACACCCAAGAUAAUCUAAUCAUUGUGAAUACAAUCACAGGCUUCUUCUAGGCCACAAUGAGCAUAAAAUGAGCCACCUUGCCUGUACUAUCUUUAAGAAAAUGUCAGAAAAUGUUAAAAUAACACACCCUUUUAGAGGUAGGUACGCCUGCAAACCUGUGAUGAUCAAAGACACCAUUUUGUCAGAUUUGUGGAUGAAAAGAAAGCUUCAUUCUCAGGAUAGUUGGCCCGAAAUCCUUUGCAAACAAUUACCUCACAUUUAGAAAUUCUCCUUUCUUUAAAAACAAAUGCACAAAGUGUUUAGAGGAAUUUAAGUUCUGAAAAGGUUUUUUUAAUGAAAUAUACCGAUACACUAUUUUUUUUUCAUUGAAUUAGUCUUUAAAGGGCUAUCUGUGUAUAAUUCAUUGAUUCAAGUAUCUGACAGUGAUUCCACUUUUUCUUUUUUCUUUCCAUUUGCAUUUAUCAUAUUUUAUAAAUCUAACGAUAAAUGUGUUUUAUGGACAUGUUGUCACAUUGACAGUGAAUUUAAUAGAGGCCUGUUUCACUUGCAAUUAAACUCUGUCAUCCCCACUCUGUAGGCCUCAUCUAGACCUCUCGUUCUACCUAAAAAACUGCCCAGCUGAGUAAAAGCAGCAGAUUUUGGAUGGAUUCUGAGGAGACAUGGAGAUACAAGUCAAGACGUCCUUCUGAAAAGAUAAUCUGCUUAGGGAAAAGAGGCAAUUAGGAACACUCUUCAUAAGAGGCUAAAUAAUGUUUUCUCCAAGCCAUUGAUAAAAUCUACAGUAGAAGAACAGGUGAAAGGCCAUUUCGAUUUCUGCAGCUAUCCUGGAAAGGGAACCUUGGGAAAUCUACAAUCUUCUUACAAGGUUGGCUUGCUCUGAUACAAUGUUCAGUUCCCCUGAAGCCUGAUACACUGUAGGUUCUUGGAAGAAAAGUGCCUGCAUUUAAUUCCAGCACCAUUUCAACAAAGAAGAAAUACUCAACUAAGAAUUACAUGUGGGAUGAUGGAGGAAAAGCAGCUAAGAACAAUGUUUGAGAUGGAAGUAGCAUGUGGAUAUCCUACAACAAAGGCAUAAAGCCAAGACUCCUCUAAAAAUGACUCCAUCAACAUGAACAUAGCAAACGCUGCUGCCACGACUGUGCCACUGCCAAACCCACCCUUACAUAAUACUGCUGGUCACACCACUGGGGCCAUCUAGUAGAGUAUUGUCUACCCUGACUGUCAGUGUUUCUCCAGGGUUUCAACAGAAGUUCUUUUCACACCUACCUGGAGAUGCCAGGAAUUAAACCACCUGGACCUUUAUUUUGUGCUACACAAAGGAGUGUGAAUCUCUAUCUGCUAUCUCAGGUGACCUCAUGCAUCUGUUCCCCACACAUUUCU